UGAGGAAGAAAUCUGUGGAGAUACACUGUUGAUUAUCCAUGAAAGCACUAGCCCAUUGACUGUCUCCCAGGCUUCAAAUUCUUUUCCUCCUCUAUCCUCUGGUUUUUGAAUUUUGCCAUUCACAAAAUUUAUUUUCCUCCUGGACAGUAGUGAAAGCUUCAUGGCAUUGGCCCAGCUUGCGUAAUUUGACUCUCCAGUCAAUUUGUCAGCCACCAUCAGUGCACCCGGGUGAUCUCCAGAGUUUAGAUAAUAGAUUGACUCCCUAUCGUUUAUUGCUGAAACAGGGGCAGACCUUCUGGAUUUGUGGGAGCGAUGCUUAUGGUGGUGACUUUUGUGUUUACUCUUGGAGGAAGAACGCGACUUG
This 364-nucleotide long non-coding RNA is filed under the name Zostera marina. RNAcentral describes it as "long non-coding RNA (ZMAR_LNC002258)". Lineage: Eukaryota; Viridiplantae; Streptophyta; Magnoliopsida; Alismatales; Zosteraceae. The record is from RNAcentral.